UUCUUAUAGCGAUCAUUAUAAGUAAAGCCUGCUCAAUGAAUCUUCAAUAGCCGCAGUUUACUGUGCUAAGGUAGCAUAAUCAUUUGCCCUUUAAUUGAGGGCUAGAAUGAAAGGUAUCACAUUUAAACUCUUUUUUGAAUUUACAAGCGCAAAAUUAUUUUAAAUAUCAAAAAAUAUUUAUAAAAAAAAAAGACGAUAAGACCCUAUCAAACUUCACUAUGUUCAGCUGGGGCAGCUAAUUAAUAACAAUUUAAUCUAAUAUUUACAAACGACCAAUCCAUUAAAAAUGAAAUAAUCAAGUUACUGUAGGGAUAACAGCGUAAUAAUUUUUAAAAGCUCAUAUUUAAAAACAAGUUUACGACCUCGAUGUUGAAUUAAUUAAUCUAAUAAACGCAACCGUUUAAAAAGAAAGUCUGUUCGACUUAUAAAUAAUUACG
RNAcentral lists this ribosomal RNA (437 nucleotides) under Afrarchaea sp. CASENT9018940. Its description in RNAcentral is "partial 16S ribosomal RNA". Lineage: Eukaryota; Metazoa; Arthropoda; Arachnida; Araneae; Archaeidae. The record is from RNAcentral.